CUUAGUUUGUGCCACACCCACCCACACUUGUGAUCACGUGCAGCAGCACACGCGCAUCGUCACAGAUCCCACACCCCCACCUUUUUUGUUGUUGUUUUCGACCCUCUUCUAAAGGAAGGCACGCAGACAGUGAGCACUCACCCUCCAAGCACCGACACAUAAGUCACACACGCACUUGAUCUCGUGAUCCACCACCCUCUGCCUUCUCUCACCAACACCCGUUUGCAAUCACGAAGUUCUUUCGCCAACGCAUCAUGCCCGCGGCGUCUUCCCUGCCGGCGAAGCUGGAGGGCUUCGUGCGCACCGAGUUCGAGGACACAUGCCGCCGUCGCUUCUUCUACGGCCUCGCCUUCGACCCCUAUGGCGGAACAGCUGGCCUGUACGACCUCGGCCCCACCAUGUGCGCCAUGAAGAGCAACAUGCUUCAUUUCUGGCGCCAGCACUUCGUGAUCGAGGAGAGCAUGUGCGAGGUGGACACGACCUGCCUCACGCCGGAGGAGGUGUUCAAGGCGUCCGGCCAUGUCACCCGCUUCAACGACGUCAUGGUGCGUGACACCGUCACAGGUGAGUGCAUCCGCGCUGACAAGUUUCUGGAGGAGUGGAGCGAGGCGCAGAUCGAGAAGGACGGCAUUACGGCGGAGCAGAAGGACGAGUUCCUGCACUUGCUGCACGACGCCGCCGGCAUGAACCCCUCCCAGAUCAAGGCGGUGCUAGAGAAGCACGCCAUCAAAUCGCCCAAGGGCAACCCCUUCAGCGACCCCUUCCCCUUCAACCUUAUGUUUGCCACCCACAUCGGGCCGGAGGGCGACCGCCUCGGCUACAUGCGCCCCGAGCUGGCUCAGGGCAUCAUCCUGAAUUUCAAGCGCCUGAUGGACUCCGGCAAUGCGCAGCGCAUGCCGUUUGCCGGUGCUUGCAUCGGGACCGCCUUCCGUAACGAGAUCGCCCCGCGCUCGGCGCUUAUUCGUGUUCGCGAGUUUACGCUGGCGGAGAUCGAGCACUUUGUAAAUCCGAACAACAAGAACCACGAGAAGUUCGACCGGGUCCGCGACGUCGAGAUCUGGGCGUGGCCGCGCAACCUCCAGGCGAGCAACGAGGACCCCAUCCGCAUGACGAUCGGCGAGGCUGUCCAGGCAAAGGUGAUCGACAACCAGACUCUCGGCUACUUCAUUGGACGCGUCGCGCUUUUCCUCACGUCCGUCGGCGUCCGCUUCUACCGCUUCCGCCAGCACCAGUCGACGGAGAUGGCGCACUACGCCCAGGACUGCUGGGACGCGGAGCUGCUUACCUCAUACGGCUGGAUCGAGUGCGUUGGCAUUGCGGACCGCUCUGCGUACGACUUGACGCAGCACAGCAACGCGUCCAAGAAGGACCUGUGCGCGCGUGAGGAGUACAACGAGCCCUGCAUGGAGCGCCAGCUGCUGCGCCAGCUAACGAAGGGCCUCAUCGGCAAGACGUUCGGCAAGAAGGCCGGUGAAGUUAUGGCUUACCUCAACUCCGCCCCAGCGGAGGCGUGCGAGGCGAUUCGCGCCGCCCACGCGGCCGGCCAGCCGGCCACCGUCGCCCUUCCUUCUGGCGAGGAGGUCUCAAUCACGGCGCAGAUGGUGUCGUUUGAGGAGAAGGACGUAAAGGUGACGGGCUACAGCUACACCCCGAGUGUGAUCGAGCCGUCCUUCGGCAUCGGCCGCAUCCUGUACUGCCUGCUGGAGCAGAGCUACUGGGUGCGCCGUGACGAUGGUGGCAAAAAUGACAAGCGCGCCGUCUUCAGCUUCAGCCCGCUUCUGGCGCCGCAGAAGGUGGCCCUGCUGCCGCUCAUGGUGAAGCCGGAGCUGCUCGCCACCAUCUCGGAGAUUCGCCAGGAGCUCGUCAUGCGCGGCAUCUCCGUCCGCGUCGACGACAGCAGUGUCACGAUUGGCAAGAAGUAUGCUCGCGUGGAUGAGCUCGGCAUCCCGUUCGCCAUCACGUGCGACUUCGAGGGAGACGGUAGUGUGACGCUGCGCGAGCGCGACACGGCCUCGCAGGUGCGUGUGCCCAAGUCGGAGGUGGCGUCGAUCGUGGUGGAGCUGUGCAACCCGCUUCAGCCUCUGACAUGGGAUUCCGUGAAGGCCAAGUACCCCGCUCAAGCUGCCGCGGCGGAGAAGUAGGCCUGGCCUCUCUGCAUGUGAGCCGCGCUCGAGAGUGCAUGUGUAUGCUGUGUGCGCAGUAAGGAACGCGAGUGUACACACUCUUCCUCGGUGGGUUGGCAUUUCUAUACACGCAGGCGGCAGAAGAGCGGGUAAGAGGAGGAGAAGCUAGUAGCAGCAGAGCGGUUAGCGUAGUCGCGCGUGCGCCUCCACCAUCUAACGCCCUUCUUUGGCGUUCUCCUCCCCUACACGUUUUCCUGACGUUUUGGGGCUGUUUUCUUUUGUUUUUGGAUAAAAAAUGAGCCGGCAUUUGUACGGGCGCCUGCAUGUGUCUGUGUGUCGGCCGUCUUCAUUUUGUGUCAGGAACUAUCACACCUCUCCCUCUCACCCACCCUCAGCCUACCCCCCCCCCCCCCCCCUUGCAUCCUUUGCCACUUGGGUUCUGAGUCCUUGCCGCUGAAAGCAGCGGCGGCGAGGACGGAGGGAGGAGUGGGUGGGGUGGGGCUGCCGGUGGCACGGUGGUUGCUUCGGCGCUUCUGCGCAGUUUUCUUUCCGUUUGGUGACCCCGUUUUUCUUUUCUAUCGUGUAUGCCCUGUGUGUGCGUGUGUGCGUACGGUGUUUAGGUUGCUGCUUCGUGUGCGUGUGUACAUCUCUGCGUCUGUGUGUGCACUGGUGAUGAGUUCAAAUAAUGAGAGAGGGAGGUGAACGCACGCACACGCACACACACACACACACACACACGCACUGGCCCCCUCUGGAAGCAAGUAAGUGCCGACGCAGACAUACAUGCAUCUAUAUACGAACUGGCGCAUAAAACGGAGGAUAAGGGCACAGGUACGACCUCCUCUUUUUUCUUUUUUCAAUAUUCUCUUUUCAUGUGGGGUAUGACCGGGGGUCCGGUGGGCGGCUGAAAACUCGAGCUCCAUGCUCGCCUCUCAGGUGCCUCUCCUUGCUUGAUGUGUCUCUGCAUCUUCUCCCCCUCUGUUUCUCUAUCGGUGUUGUUCCUGGGCAUUCACACCUGCUGGGCUAAUCCUCCCUUUUUCUCACGGCUGUGUGCCUGAGUCCACAGCUUCCUUCUUGAAGGAGUGCCACCACACCACAACCGCAGCAGCAAUGGAUGUGCAUGAGAAGUGACAGCGCAACUAGAACUGGCUGCUUCGCUUGGUGAUGCUGCUUCUCGGAACGCAAAACCAGAACACUUCGGAUCUGCGUGGAGAACUGUAGAAGAAAGGGUGUAAAAGAGCGUGAAAAAGACGAACGCACAGCGCACACACGGGGUGGGAAGAACUCCGCAGGUGGAGCACAUUAUCUUCUUGUGUUUUCUUUCCGCGUCGCGUUCGUUACCUUUGCGUCCGACCGCGCUGCUCUUUCUGCUUCAUCCGCCCACGACUUGUCUCCUCCCCAACCUUCGCACAUCCUUGACCGUCCCUUCUUCAACGCCGCCACCGCUCUCUCUCUGUGCGUCAUCUCUAUCUUAAUUUGACAGGCACACGUGCAUAAACACCGCCGUCCGUCACGAAGAUGACAGCGUGCAGCACCGAGAAAGCGAAGCAGAGCAACGUAAUGAAAACAAAGG
This 3696-nucleotide unclassified non-coding RNA is filed under the name Leishmania donovani. RNAcentral's name for it is "gene:LdHU3.36.5410(CDS-product:glycyl_tRNA_synthe tase_putative)". The record is from RNAcentral. Lineage: Eukaryota; Euglenozoa; Kinetoplastea; Trypanosomatida; Trypanosomatidae.